RNAcentral lists this ribosomal RNA (468 nucleotides) under uncultured bacterium. RNAcentral describes it as "partial 16S ribosomal RNA". It matches the Rfam family "Bacterial small subunit ribosomal RNA", at positions 28 to 507 of the family's 1533-position model. The record is from RNAcentral.
GACGAACGCUGGCGGCGUGCUUAACACAUGCAAGUCGAACGGAAAGGCCCUGGUUUUGUGGGGUGCUCGAGUGGCGAACGGGUGAGUAACACGUGAGUAACCUGCCCUUGACUUUGGGAUAACUUCAGGAAACUGGGGCUAAUACCGGAUAGGAGCGCCUGCUGCAUGGUGGGGGGUGGAAAGUUUCGGCGGUGGGGGAUGGACUCGCGGCUUAUCAGCUUGUUGGUGGGGUAGUGGCUUACCAAGGCUUUGACGGGUAGCCGGCCUGAGAGGGUGACCGGCCACAUUGGGACUGAGAUACGGCCCAGACUCCUACGGGAGGCAGCAGUGGGGAAUAUUGCACAAUGGGCGGAAGCCUGAUGCAGCAACGCCGCGUGCGGGAUGACGGCCUUCGGGUUGUAAACUGCUUUCGCCUGUGACGAAGCGUGAUUGACGGUAAUGGGUAAAGAAGCACCGGCUAACUACGUG